Molecule: long non-coding RNA, 699 nt
Organism: Nicrophorus vespilloides
Lineage: Eukaryota; Metazoa; Arthropoda; Insecta; Coleoptera; Silphidae
Exons: 4
Source: RefSeq, a predicted model, not a curated record
UCCCAGGACCGAAGCCUCUUCCGAUCAUUGGAAACAUACUCGAAUUCGGAUUCGACAUUACUAAUAUGAUGACAAAUUUCAGUAGAAUAUGCUCGAACUACAACGGAAUUUGUAGGUUGUUCUUAGGCCCCAAGACGGUUCUUGUCGUGGUUUGGCAUCCGAAAUAUUUAAAGAAAAUCUUCAAGCAUUAAUUCUUCGGAGCAUAUAGAAAAAACGAAUUUUUACGAUUUCUUCAAAGGUAUUACUGGAAAAGGAAUUGUAAGUGUUGAAGGGCCAAUUUGGCAUAAUAAUAGGAAAGCGCUGCAGCCGGCAUUUCAAUAUGCAAUGCUCGAAGAUUUCAAUAAAAUUUUCAAUAAAGCAGGUGACAAAUUGCUGAAAAAGUUUGAGAAAAUUCAGGAACGUCAAGUGGAUGUUAGCCCUUACAUCAAUAGCAGUACGAUGGAAACUACAUAUGAAAGUAUACUGGGAUUGAAUUUCGAAGAAAAUCAGAACGAAAAUUUGAAGUAUUCGAAUACCAUUUACCAGUACUAGACCUUGCUUAUUGCGCAUUUUUUCGCCAUCAAGAGAAGCGAUUUUUUGUACCAACUAUUGCCUGAACAAAAAGACAGCAAGAGCGUCUGCAAGAAAUAUUGAAUUUUACAUCUGCCAUCGUCGAUAAGAAGAGGGAAGAAAUGAAGCGACGAAGCGGUGAUAAUAUCU